AGACAGAGGGUGCGAGCGUUGUUCGGAAUCAUUGGGCGUAAAGCGCACGUAGGCGGUAUUACAAGUCGAAUGUGAAAGCCCGGGGCUCAACCCCGGAAGGGCAUUCGAAACUGUAAUACUUGAGUCCCGGAGAGGGAAGUGGAAUUUCCGGUGUAGCGGUGAAAUGCGUAGAUAUCGGAAGGAACACCAGUGGCGAAGGCAACUUCCUGGGCCAAUACUGACGCUGAGGUGCGAAAGCGUGGGGAGCAAACAGGAUUAGAAACCCCAGUAGUCC
Molecule: ribosomal RNA, 274 nt
Filed under: uncultured bacterium
Lineage: Bacteria
Description: partial 16S ribosomal RNA
Rfam family: Bacterial small subunit ribosomal RNA
Source: RNAcentral